GAUGAACGCUGGCGGCGUGCCUAAUACAUGCAAGUCGAGCGAACGGACGAGAAGCUUGCUUCUCUGAUGUUAGCGGCGGACGGGUGAGUAACACGUGGAUAACCUACCUAUAAGACUGGGAUAACUUCGGGAAACCGGAGCUAAUACCGGAUAAUAUUUUGAACCGCAUGGUUCAAAAGUGAAAGACGGUAUUGCUGUCACUUAUAGAUGGAUCCGCGCUGCAUUAGCUAGUUGGUAAGGUAACGGCUUACCAAGGCAACGAUGCAUAGCCGACCUGAGAGGGUGUUCGGCCACACUGGAACUGAGACACGGUCCAGACUCCUACGGGAGGCAGCAGUAGGGAAUCUUCCGCAAUGGGCGAAAGCCUGACGGAGCAACGCGGCGUGAGUGAUGAAGGUCUUCGGAUCGUAAAACUCUGUUAUUAGGGAAGAACAUAUGUGUAAGUAACUGUGCACAUCUUGACGGUACCUAAUCAGAAAGCCACGGCUAACUACGUG
This 497-nucleotide ribosomal RNA is filed under the name uncultured bacterium. Its description in RNAcentral is "partial 16S ribosomal RNA". It matches the Rfam family "Bacterial small subunit ribosomal RNA", at positions 28 to 507 of the family's 1533-position model. The record is from RNAcentral.